This 498-nucleotide ribosomal RNA is filed under the name uncultured bacterium. RNAcentral's name for it is "bacterial SSU rRNA". It matches the Rfam family "Bacterial small subunit ribosomal RNA", at positions 8 to 518 of the family's 1533-position model. The record is from RNAcentral.
AGAGUUUGAUCAUGGCUCAGGAUGAACGCUGGCGGCGUGCUUAACACAUGCAAGUCGAACGGAGUUUAGAGAGCUUGCUCUUAAACGUUAGUGGCGGACGGGUGAGUAACGCGUGGGUAACCUGCCUUUCACUGGGGGAUAACAGUUAGAAAUGACUGCUAAUACCGCAUAAGCGCACGGGACGGCAUCGUCUAGUGUGAAAAAACUCCGGUGGUGAAAGAUGGACCCGCGUCUGAUUAGCUAGUUGGUGAGGUAACGGCCCACCAAGGCGACGAUCAGUAGCCGGCCUGAGAGGGUGAACGGCCACAUUGGGACUGAGACACGGCCCAAACUCCUACGGGAGGCAGCAGUGGGGAAUAUUGCACAAUGGGGGAAACCCUGAUGCAGGCCGACGCCGCGUGAGUGAAGAAGUAUUUCGGUAUGUAAAGCUCUAUCAGCAGGGAAGAAAAUGACGGUACCUGACUAAGAAGCCCCGGCUAACUACGUGCCAGCAGCAGC